AGUCUAUUGGGGGCCGCUAUUGUUAUAGUAUUUCGUAGUGGGAUAGGAGUAACAACUUUGGAGAGAGUAAGGUAUAUUGAAAUUUUGGAAGAUGUCUCGAUGGGAGUACCUGAGAAGGAAGUUUUAAUAAGGUCGGUUGUUAGUAGAGGUUAAAACUCGUACCUUUUGCAUCAGGGUUUGGCGAGAAGAAUGAGGUAUCUCUUAAUCCCGAAAUUAAAAGAGCUACCUCGUGUUCGGGCUUGGACUGUAGGGGGUUAACGUGGUAUUAGUUAUCCAAAAAACUAGAGGUAGGGGUGAAAUAUUAGGCGCUUUUAAUGAUAGCUGGUUGCUCUAGAAAUGGAUGUCAGUUCAGGUGUAUUGGGUGAGUUGCUGGGUGAAGAAAUUUGAGAUACGUCUGGGGAGUUUAGCUUAAGGUUGAGCUUUGAGGGGAAAGAAGUGCAGGGGAGUGAGAGUCUGCCUAUUAGCUGGGCUUGGGCACAUUAACGUUAUGCCUACACCCCCCCAGGUCUAGGUUUUAGGGGGCCAAAUGUAGCGAGUUUAUCGGCUUAGGGACAGCUCACUUAAUAUAUUAAAAGCGUUCAAGUUUACUUGUCUGGAAAUGGGAUAAUUAGUUGGGGGUUGGUUCUUAUAGGUGUAUGGGGCUAGGUAGCUGAGUGAAGAAAGCUGUGGAGAUAAUGCUAGAAUGAGUAGGUUUGGUUGAGGGCAUACUUAGCUGGCGUAUAAUGUUAGAGGUGGCCAGAGGAAGGGUUUUUCUUAGCUAAGUCGGUAAAAGGAAUUCGGCAAAGUAGCUUAUCCGGCUGUUUAUCAAAAACAUCGCCUCUGGUUAAGUGGUCAUAGAGCGGAGGUCGCACCUGCCCGGUGACGAGAGUUAAACGGCGGCCCUAACUAUGAGGGUCUCAAGGUAGCAUAUAAGUAGCCGGUUAAUAGUCGGAUGGGACGAAAGGAUAGUACGAGAGGGUAGCUGUCUCUUAUCGAUUUGAUUGAAGUAAAUUUUAGGGUGUAAAAGCCCUAAUUAUUUGGGAAGACGAGAAGACCCCGUGAAACUUUAGUUUGUUUUUGGGAGGAUUAGCUAACAGGGUUUAGCCCCUUCUGGGAGUUAAGCUUCAGUUGGGAGAGCUCAGGGGCAGAAAAAUCCCUCUGGAAAUAUUGGUGGUGGCUGAUGGGCGUCGAACUGUUCGAGGCGAGAGGUACUUGGAAUAAGUUACUCCGGGGGUAACAGCGUAAUCUUCCUUUGGAGCGCUUAUCUGUUGGAGGGUUUGCGACCUCGAUGUUGAAUGUGGUUAUCCUUGUGCCGCAACGGGUUAAAAAGGGUGGGAUUGCUAGUCCGAUAAAAACCAACCUGAUUUGAGUUAAGAACGGCGUGAGUUAGUUCGGUUUCUAUCUCCCAAAGAAGAUAUGGGGCUCUUUAGUACGAAAGGACCGAGAGGUCAGGUAGUUAUAGUGAGAAGUGAUAGGGGCUAAUAGGGAGUUAA
RNAcentral lists this ribosomal RNA (1472 nucleotides) under Barbatia virescens. RNAcentral's name for it is "16S ribosomal RNA". The stretch from base 734 to 1472 matches the Rfam family "Archaeal large subunit ribosomal RNA", at positions 1423 to 2851 of the family's 2987-position model. The record is from RNAcentral. Lineage: Eukaryota; Metazoa; Mollusca; Bivalvia; Arcoida; Arcidae.